GCGCUCACUAGGCCUCGGUUCUCUCCACAUGGUCCUGACCCCCCCUCUGUGAGCAAGAGAAAUAGAACUGGUUUGGGGGUGUCCUGUCCAAGGGGACACAGGACAUCACGGUUUUCAGUACAACA
Molecule: non-coding RNA, 125 nt
Organism: Carlito syrichta (Philippine tarsier)
Lineage: Eukaryota; Metazoa; Chordata; Mammalia; Primates; Tarsiidae
Source: Ensembl